RNAcentral lists this ribosomal RNA (497 nucleotides) under uncultured bacterium. RNAcentral's name for it is "partial 16S ribosomal RNA". It matches the Rfam family "Bacterial small subunit ribosomal RNA", at positions 28 to 507 of the family's 1533-position model. The record is from RNAcentral.
GACGAACGCUGGCGGCGUGCCUAAUACAUGCAAGUUGAGCGAUGAAGAUUGGUGCUUGCACCAAUUUGAAGAGCAGCGAACGGGUGAGUAACGCGUGGGGAAUCUGCCUUUGAGCGGGGGGCAACAUUUGGAAACGAAUGCUAAUACCGCAUAACAACUUUAAACAUAAGUUUUAAGUUUGAAAGAUGCAAUUGCAUCACUCAAAGAUGAUCCCGCGUUGUAUUAGCUAGUUGGUGAGGUAAAGGCUCACCAAGGCGAUGAUACAUAGCCGACCUGAGAGGGUGAUCGGCCAACUUGGGACUGAGACACGGCCCAAACUCCUACGGGAGGCAGCAGUAGGGAAUCUUCGGCAAUGGACGAAAGUCUGACCGAGCAACGCCGCGGGAGUGAAGAAGGGUUUCGGAUCGUAAAACUCUGUUGGUAGAGAAGAACGUUGGUGAGAGUGGAAAGCUCAUCAAGUGACGGUAACUACCCAGAAAGGGACGGCUAACUACGUG